RNAcentral lists this ribosomal RNA (253 nucleotides) under uncultured bacterium. RNAcentral's name for it is "partial 16S ribosomal RNA". It matches the Rfam family "Bacterial small subunit ribosomal RNA", at positions 524 to 776 of the family's 1533-position model. The record is from RNAcentral.
UACGGGGGGGGCAAGCGUUGUUCGGAAUUACUGGGCGUAAAGGGCUCGUAGGCGGCCAACUAAGUCAGACGUGAAAUCCCCAGGCUCAACCUGGGAACUGCGUCUGAUACUGGAUGGCUUGAAUGCGGGAGAGGGAUGCAGAAUUCCAGGUGUAGCGGUGAAAUGCGUAGAUAUCUGGAGGAAUACCGGUGGCGAAGGCGGCAUCCUGGACCGGCAUUGACGCUGAGGAGCGAAAGCCAGGGGAGCAAACGGG